CACAUUGAGUACCAAAAUAAAAUGAGGUGUGAAUAGAAGCCCUCAAUAUUAAUAAGUAAACCUUAUCUACAAAAUCUAACCAAAUAACUCUGAAUCAGUUCUCAACACAGCACAAUAAUUUAGGUGGGAAUUACAAAUUUAGAAUGCAACAUUUGGAUUCCGAUUCUCCUCCCACACCGCCGCCAACCGCCAGCUCCCUUGGCAAAAUCGGCGUAGCAGUCAACCUCUCCGACGAGGACGCAUAUGCCGUCAGCUGGGCGGUUAAGCACUACCUCCGACAAGGCGUUGUCCUUUUCCACGUCUGCACUACUACUCACGACCACGCCACCUCCACCGCCAACAACCACCACAGCGACGAGAUGACGAAGAUUAAAAACUAUUUUCACAUAUGUAUACAAUUUCCAAAGUGAAGGAUUUCGCGGAACCUUUACGCCAGGCGAAGAUUCCUUACAGCAUCCACAUUGUGAUGGAUCGCGAGAUAAAGGAGCGUCUCUGCUUGGAAAUCAGCGGUAUCAAUCUCAUCGCACUCGUCAUUGGAUGCCGCAGAAGCGUCAGUUACUACUGUGACCUCCAUUGCGUAUGCCCUGUCGUAGUAGAAGGACGCGGAAGAAGAUGUAGUCUCCACUGCUAAUUCUGUAGUUGGAAACAUCGCCGGAAGCUCCGUGGCUGAAAUCAACACAGCCAAUUCCGUCUUGCUGCCGACCAAGGAAACCUAUGUGGAAGAAAUUGAGGAGAUUUUGCGUCUAUAUAAAGAAGAUCAACUUAGCAGAGGCGACCUCAAAGAACUCAUUGAUAGAGUCUACGAUCAAAUCCUAGAAGAGGAGCUUAUGGACAAUACUGAUCAAGAACUCCUGAUGAAUUUACUUGAGAAUGAGAGGCGACAACAGUCCCAUACCUCCAUUAGGCACAAACGUGCAAAGCAUAGACAUACAUGAAAAGGAUGUCAUCAGAGCACGUCUUUGAAGUGAGACAACUUGAAAAUCCAGUAGAUAAGUUUGCAGUCAAUUUGAAGAAACAUCUAUACUCCUGCAGAAGAUGGAAACUCACAAGUCUUCCUUGUGUUCAUGCACUUUCAACUAUGAAGAGUAGAAAUCAUAAGGUUGAUGACUAUAUUCUUGAGUAUUACAGGAAAUCAAGAUAUAUGGCAGUCUACAAACAUGUGAUUUAUCUUGUAAAUGGAUCAAAUAUGUGGGUUAGAACAGAGUAUCAUGAUUCGCAACCAUCUAAGUAUAAGAAAAUGCUUGAAAGAUCAAACAAGAUGAGGGAUUUUGAGCAAAGAGAUUGAUGGCUCUGAUCGUAAAAUGAGAAGAACUGGUUUCACUGUCAAGUGCAGUAGGUGCGUAGAGCAAGGAGAGAUUGAUGGCUUUGAUCGCAACUAGAUUUGGUGCAGCCAAGAAUGCAGCUGGGUCAACAACAAGAAGGACUACACCAACAAAGGGAACCACGCCAAAGAAGAAAAUUCUGUUGGCAGUUGAACUCAGUUUAAGUUAUAAUUUAGUUUAAGAUUGAACCUCUGUCCUUAUGCAGUGUGUUUUAGAUAUGUAAUGUGUUUUGAACCUAUGUUGUUAUGCAGAAUAUGUCAUGUGUUUUGAAUAUAUAUUGUAAUGUAGAAUAUUAGUGGUAUACACCACAUAUUAGUAAUGUGUUUUCGUAUAAA
Lathyrus oleraceus (garden pea) is the source of this 1657-nucleotide long non-coding RNA. RefSeq lists it as uncharacterized. The transcript is spliced from 3 exons. The record is from RefSeq and is a predicted model, not a curated record. Lineage: Eukaryota; Viridiplantae; Streptophyta; Magnoliopsida; Fabales; Fabaceae.